GAAAGAUGAAAAGAACUUUGAAAAGAGAGUUAAACAGUACGUGAAAUUGUUGAAAGGGAAACGAUUGAAGUCAGUCAUACCAACGGGAAAUCAACCUUUUGAGCUCGGUCUCGUGGGUUUUGAAGAGUUUCAAAGCCUUCGGAUUCGCGGGAUUGGGAUCUCUUGGUGUACUUUUUCGUACGGUUAGUCAACAUCGGUUUUGAAUGUCAUAAAAUGACUGGAGGAAUGUAGCUUCGAUCUCGUAUUGAAGUGUUAUA
RNAcentral lists this ribosomal RNA (257 nucleotides) under uncultured Funneliformis. RNAcentral describes it as "partial large subunit ribosomal RNA". It matches the Rfam family "Eukaryotic large subunit ribosomal RNA", at positions 359 to 631 of the family's 3401-position model. Lineage: Eukaryota; Fungi; Glomeromycota; Glomeromycetes; Glomerales; Glomeraceae. The record is from RNAcentral.